UAACACGAAAAAAAAUCUUAGUGCCAAUAACUAAAAGUAAAACAAUAAAUAAGUUUUACUAUGUAAUCGGGAAAUCCAAAACUUGCACAAAAGUCGUAUGAGCUUGUUAUCUGCUUGAGCAAUGAGAUACACCACUUAAGGUGUUCAAAGUUCAAACUGCAAGAUAUGCAGUCAAUCCAUUUAUCAAGUUGACAUAUUUCUACUUUUACUUUAUCAACUCUAUUUUCCUGUCAAAACUCUUCAAAUGGCAUUUCUACUAAAAUCUCCAAAAGUUUAUUCUUAUAUUAGUAUAGAAGUAUUAAACAAAACAUGUUCAAAGAACUUCAGGAGGAGAUGGUAUAUUAGGAAUUUAAAUAUUCUCGUUUAUUUAUACAAUAAAGUGACUAUUUGAGAUUUGUGGCUUUACAUGAAUUCCCAAGUAUUCCGCAAAUAAAAAAAAGAAUAAACCACAAUUUGAAUACGUAAACGAAACAUCACCAAUAUGCCAAAAUUCUGUAAAUAAAAUAAAAUAAACAUAUUGAUAAAUAAACACUACUUUAGUAUAAAAAUUUAAUCAAUAGUUAUAUUAAUCAAGAAAACAUUAAAACAAUAAAAAAAAACAUAAAUUAAAUAAUGCUUCCAAAAUUCUGCCAAACUUAACGUCAUCCUUUCUCUUCCAUUUUAGCUCCAACACACUAAUUGGACUCCCCCUCCCCAACCCCUAAAUUCCGAUUAAAUUAAACAAUGCUUCCAAAAUUCUGCCAAAACCAAAACCAAAACCCAAAAUGUCUACACAAUUCUCACAAAUUUCAAUUAUAAUCUACACGAUCUGCUUCAUAACCACAGAGCCGCCAACGAUAUUGGUCAAAACCCUACCAUAACUUAGUCGAAAUUCUCUCCCUCGCCACAUUUUUAAAUAAAUACCGCCUCAAAAUUUCGACAAUAGUGGAGAAAGAUAACAGAUUUAUGCAGUUAAAGAGAAAGCUACAUGAAAAAGAGAAGAUCAUAAUGGUAUCAAGGUUAUAAAAAGACUUUGAUGACAGAGUUUGUUAUUCACGGAUAAGAUUAUCUAUCAAGGGACUGAUCUCUAAAAUAAGAAAUAGGUGGCAGAAAAGGAAUAAAGACGGGAUACAAAUAUUCAUGAGUCAUAAUCUUUCAAAACAGGAAGAAAGAUGGGAGCAAAGGACUUUGAGACUGUUCUUCAUAAACAUGAUAGAAAGAUUGCAGUAAUGACAUUAAGAAGGAACUGGGAUCAAAAAAUAAGAAAUAUAGGAGGCAGAAAAGGAUCAGAGAUUGCAUAAAAAUAUUCAUUGGAGAGAAACUUUCCAGAUAGGAAGAAAGAUAAGAGCAACGGAAGAGGAGGCUGAUCUUAAUAUACAUAACACCAUGGUUGCAGUAUUGACAUAAAGAAGGUUAGAAACCUGCAUGUAUUCAUGAGAAUAGUACUUACAGAAGAUAAAAUGGUAGUUUAACUUUGAUAAAAAAAAAUAUGCAUAUUUAAUAUGGUAAUGAACAAUAAUAAAAAAGAAUGGAGAGGAUAGAGUUGAACAUAAAAGAACAAAUGAUACAGAAAAACUCUUUGCAGGGUGAAUGGAGGGAAGAAAUUUAGGAAGAAUAGAACUGCCUAAAAUUUCAAUUGCUAAUUCUUGUUGAGUGAUUUUGGAAGAGUAUCAAGGUGGUGUAUUUAUAGAAGAAAGAAUGGUGAGUCUGCAACUAACAAAAACAAUGCAUGUUCCCAAAAAAUACACUAUAAUAAAAAAAGACCUUUCAUAUAAAAAAUAAAACAAUGGAAAAUAAAUAAUACUACAACCGGCCCACUUGAUUUCUUAACUUAAUAACUUUAAAUUAUUUAAAAUAGUAAAAAAUUAUCAAAUAUAAAUCUAAAUAAAAAAUCUAUCUAAUUUAUAUAUCAUAUUAAAUUAUUAUUUACAAAGUUAGGAAAGUAAAUUAUUGUAAACCUAACAUUAAGAACAUACUUCGGCCCAGUUGAUUUAUUCCAUUAAUAACUUAUUAUUACUACUAUAUAAAGAAGCCUCUACUUUACCCAAAUAAAACAUAUUUAUAAACCCUAGAAGAAGAGAGUAGCCGCCUAGCUCGGUAAAACAAAAAGGAGAGAGAACCAAAUAUGGAAAAUAAAGAGCCCUAAAUCAAAGGCCAACAUCUUUAUAAUGAUUAGAAAGGGAGCAAUAGGAUAGCGCAGACGUGGGAGACUCUGUAACUCUCAAAUGUUAAAGUAUGGAGUAGGAAGAAAGAAGAAGAAGAUACAAAAGGGACAAAUUGCUUUGGAAAGAGGCAAAAUGACAACUAUGAAAGAAUGAAAUCAUUCCUUAUUGUAAUACUGUAGAAAAGUACUUCAUUUCACCCCUAUCCUAUGUUAAUAUACAUAGGCCUGCUGGAAAGUGUUGUUUUCGAUACAUAGAUUAAUGAAUAAAUAAUUUUCAACUAAUAAA
This is a long non-coding RNA of Salvia hispanica, 2429 nucleotides long. RefSeq lists it as uncharacterized. Lineage: Eukaryota; Viridiplantae; Streptophyta; Magnoliopsida; Lamiales; Lamiaceae. The record is from RefSeq and is a predicted model, not a curated record.